ACUUCACUAAAUGACCUAUCUUAUACAUAAGAUGGGAUGAACGUCUGUCUAUUCAAAAUUGUGACCAUAGAACAUCAAGAAGGCUUCUUUAUGUUAUUCACUGACUCUCCUAAAGAAUUAACUCUGUACUUUCAUUUUGAUCAAUAAAGCAGCAAAGCAAAAAUUUUUAAACAGAUUAAUUACUAGAGACAAAGAAACAUCUGAACUGUUGCCAAUCUGAACAGAGAGAAUAAAUAGAUAUUCACUUAUACAUAUCAAAUACUUGUACAGUUGCACUCACACACUUUAAAAUACUGAACAGGCCUCUCCAGGCAUAGCGUUGUUAAUAGAAUAAGGCUCUUCUGAGAGAGGCAAUGUGUAAAACACACGUGGAGAGGAAACACUAAGAAAUGAUAUAGAUCAUGGUGCUUUAAAACUUGUUUCCUGGAGACUUUAAGAAAUUUAAAAUUUCAGAGUAAGAAAGUUACCAGAAUUUUAAUGAAAAAUUUAUUGUAUGGAGGAGUGAUUGCAGAUAGAUAGACAGACAGACAGAUGAUGGAUCAUCUUGUUUUCCUGACCUAAUGACAGAGUCCAGUCCCUUAGUUCAUUGUUACCAGCCCUAAGGACCAUAUGCCUCAGGUGCAGAAUAUUUCAUACCAACAAAGGCUCUGUCCAAAGGUUACCACUGUUCAUGAAUGUGUGUGCAUGAUUUGCAGGAAUGCAUAGAGGACUCUCUUUGGUACCAAAUAGCCAGGUUCACUACAAAUAGAAUAAAAGACUGACUUACUGUUUCACCUCUUUAUCUAUAAUGCUCUGGUUCAGUGCAGAAACUUCAUAGUGUCCCUGAGUGACUCUAAUGUCCUGGAGUGGCACCACUUUCUUGUUUUCUUUGCAUUUUUUUUUAAGGUUAAUCUGUCUGUCUCAGGUGAUGAGUACAUGCAGUUCUUUGUUAUUAAAUAUCAGUCUUGUAAAUGCUCUUAAGAUUCUUGCUUCCCAGAAAUUAUCCUGGUAUGGAAAUGGGUCUGAUUCUUACCAUAUAAAAUUUGUGUAUUUCUUAUCAUGAAUUCUAAGGGACUUGGAGAGAGUGUGAAAGUGCAUUCCAACCUGUUGAUGCAGAGGGAAAUACUGUUUUGGAAAAGGCAGGCAUCCUAUAAAAUACGGGGAAUUAGGAAAGAAUUUUAAAAUGUCUGGAUAACCAUAAAGCAUUUAUAAAAUCAGGAGGUAAGUAAUGGAGCUCUGUUGGCUUAAGCCAACAACAGACUGAGCUUUAAUCUGUGAAUGGGACCAAAUGAAUUCCCUAUAGUUUUAUCAGCUUAAACCACAUAGUCUAAUUGAGUGGCUGAGUUAUGACCACAAAUGUCAUGGCAAGUGGGAAGAGGGAAUGGCCAUAGUCAAUUUCAAAAGAAGUUUGGAAAAAACUUAUUCUGGUUGUUGCUUCACUGCUUCUUUUGUGCCUUAAAUCCUUACCAUGUACAAUGAUUAAGGGUGAUUAUUGAUGUUAUAAGUAAAGGUUUAGUUGAGCUUAUCAUUUUUAUGUGAUUUAUGUUUAGAACUUCUCUUUGUAAGGCAAGUUAUUUGUGCUUUGAUCAAAUUAUGAGCAUUAGCUUUUUUUUAUUUCUGUAUUAGCGCUCACUCUGAAAUAUAAAAGUUUACUGUAUCUUUUGAGUAAAUAGAUACGUGUUUUAUGUAAC
RNAcentral lists this long non-coding RNA (1670 nucleotides) under Canis lupus familiaris (dog). RNAcentral describes it as "lncRNA (ENSCAFG00845017890.1)". Lineage: Eukaryota; Metazoa; Chordata; Mammalia; Carnivora; Canidae. The record is from RNAcentral.